Molecule: ribosomal RNA, 386 nt
Filed under: Giardia duodenalis
Lineage: Eukaryota; Fornicata; Diplomonadida; Hexamitidae
Description: SSU rRNA
Rfam family: Eukaryotic small subunit ribosomal RNA (bases 1-338)
Source: RNAcentral
CACAAGCCAUGCAUGCCCGCGCACCCGGGAGGCGGCGGACGGCUCAGGACAACGGUUGCACCCCCCGCGGCGGUCCCUGCUAGCCGGACACCGCUGGCAACCCGGCGCCAAGACGUGCGCGCAAGGGCGGGCGCCCGCGGGCGAGCAGCGUGACGCAGCGACGGCCCGCCCGGGCUUCCGGGGCAUCACCCGGUCGGCGCGGUCGCGGCGCGCCGAGGGCCCGACGCCUGGCGGAGAAUCAGGGUUCGACUCCGGAGAGCGGGCCUGAGAGACGGCCCGCACAUCCAAGGACGGCAGCAGGCGCGGAACUUGCCCAAUGCGCGCGCGCGAGGCAGCGACGGGGAGUGCGCGAGCGAGGCGGGCCCACAGCCCCCGCCGCGGAGCCG